Molecule: ribosomal RNA, 367 nt
Filed under: uncultured bacterium
Lineage: Bacteria
Description: partial 16S ribosomal RNA
Rfam family: Bacterial small subunit ribosomal RNA
Source: RNAcentral
CCUACGGGAGGCAGCAGUAGGGAAUAUUGCUCAAUGGGGGAAACCCUGAAGCAGCAACGUCGCGUGGAGGAUGAAGGUUUUCGGAUUGUUAAAUCCUUUUGUUAGAGAAGAUAAUGACGGUAUCUAACGAAUAAGCACCGGUUAAAUCCGUGCCAGCAGCCGCGGUAAUACGGAGGGUGCACGCGUUACUCGGAAUCACUGGGCGUAAAGAGCGCGUAGGCGGGAUAGAAAGUCAGAUGUGAAAUACUAUGGCUUAACCAUAGAACUGCAUUUGAAACUGUUAUUCUAGAGUAGGGGAGAGGUAGGUGGAAUUCGUGGUGUAGGGGUAAAAUCCGUAGAGAUCAAGAAGAAUACUCAUUGCGAAGGC